This 61-nucleotide microRNA precursor is filed under the name Pristionchus pacificus. RNAcentral's name for it is "microRNA ppc-mir-8242 precursor". The record is from miRBase by way of RNAcentral. Lineage: Eukaryota; Metazoa; Nematoda; Chromadorea; Rhabditida; Neodiplogasteridae.
ACUCCGUCCACUGCAUAUCAUUCCUGCAGAAAGGGCAAUGAUAUUUAGUGGCACGGAGUGA